ACGAACGCUGGCGGCGUGCUUAACCCAUGCAAGUCGAACGGAAAGGCCCUGCUUUUGUGGGGUGCUCGAGUGGCGAACGGGUGAGUAACACGUGAGUAACCUGCCCUUGACUUUGGGAUAACUUCAGGAAACUGGGGCUAAUACCGGAUAUGAGCUCCUGCUGCAUGGUGGGGGUUGGAAAGUUUCGGCGGUUGGGGAUGGACUCGCGGCUUAUCAGCUUGUUGGUGGGGUAGUGGCUUACCAAGGCUUUGACGGGUAGCCGGCCUGAGAGGGUGACCGGCCACAUUGGGACUGAGAUACGGCCCAGACUCCUACGGGAGGCAGCAGUGGGGAAUAUUGCACAAUGGGCGGAAGCCUGAUGCAGCAACGCCGCGUGCGGGAUGACGGCCUUCGGGUUGUAAACCGCUUUCGCCUGUGACGAAGCGUGAGUGACGGUAAUGGGUAAAGAAGCACCGGCUAACUACGUG
Molecule: ribosomal RNA, 467 nt
Filed under: uncultured bacterium
Lineage: Bacteria
Description: partial 16S ribosomal RNA
Rfam family: Bacterial small subunit ribosomal RNA
Source: RNAcentral